GGGGAAUAUUGGACAAUGGGCGAAAGCCUGAUCCAGCCAUGCCGCGUGAGUGAUGAAGGCCUUAGGGUUGUAAAGCUCUUUCAGUGGGGAAGAUAAUGACGGUACCCACAGAAGAAGCCCCGGCUAACUUCGUGCCAGCAGCCGCGGUAAUACGAAGGGGGCUAGCGUUGUUCGGAUUUACUGGGCGUAAAGCGCACGUAGGCGGAUUGUUAAGUCAGGGGUGAAAUCCUGGAGCUCAACUCCAGAACUGCCUCUGAUACUGGCAAUCUUGAGUCCGGAAGAGGUGAGUGGAACUCCUAGUGUAGAGGUGGAAUUCGUAGAUAUUAGGAAGAACACCAGUGGCGAAGGCGGCUCACUGGUCCGGUACUGACGCUGAGGUGCGAAAGCGUGGGGAGCAAAC
Molecule: ribosomal RNA, 400 nt
Filed under: uncultured bacterium
Lineage: Bacteria
Description: bacterial SSU rRNA
Rfam family: Bacterial small subunit ribosomal RNA
Source: RNAcentral